UUUCCGUAGGUGAACCUGCGGAAGGAUCAUUCAUAAUAAGUGUUUUAUGGCCCUUUUUUAAAUCCAUAUCCACCUUGUGUGCAAUGUCAGGGUUGAUUUUUCUCUCGUGAGGAACAGCCCCAAACAUCAACUAUAUCUCAACUCUGUGUCUGAAAAAUAUUUUGAAUAAAACAAUCCAAAAUACAACUUUCAACAACGGAUCUCUUGGCUCUC
RNAcentral lists this unclassified non-coding RNA (213 nucleotides) under plant metagenome. RNAcentral's name for it is "partial contains small subunit ribosomal RNA, internal transcribed spacer 1, and 5.8S ribosomal RNA". The record is from RNAcentral.